AGGGUUAGGUUUAAGUAAUUAAAUGCCUAUAGGAAAUCGCCGUAAAUCCGUAAUUUGGUCGUUUUAGCUCCGAUUUUCGUGAUCUUCGUAUCUAUGUGAUCGUAGCAAAACGUAUGUUCUGUUUUUAAACAUUUUAUUUUGUUUUUGAUCUGUUGGUGUACUGUUCUAAUUGUAGCUUUGUUUGCUUUGUGUAUGUGUGGCCUUGAAUGCUUGUGUGUCGAUAAUCGAUGAUCGAGAUUAGACAGUGGGCAUUACUUCGGUGAUCAAGAUCAGAGCCUUGGAAGCAAGUAAGAUCAGCAGG
RNAcentral lists this long non-coding RNA (301 nucleotides) under Sorghum bicolor (sorghum). RNAcentral's name for it is "long non-coding RNA (SBIC_LNC018076)". The record is from RNAcentral. Lineage: Eukaryota; Viridiplantae; Streptophyta; Magnoliopsida; Poales; Poaceae.